This 1187-nucleotide ribosomal RNA is filed under the name uncultured bacterium. RNAcentral's name for it is "bacterial SSU rRNA". It matches the Rfam family "Bacterial small subunit ribosomal RNA", at positions 194 to 1382 of the family's 1533-position model. The record is from RNAcentral.
CCGAUGUUUAAAGAUUUAUCGGCUGCGGAUGGCCAUGCGGCGCAUUAGCUAGUCGGCGGGGUAACGGCCCACCGAGGCGACGAUGCGUAGGGGUUCUGAGAGGAAGGUCCCCCACACUGGUACUGAGACACGGACCAGACUCCUACGGGAGGCAGCAGUGAGGAAUAUUGGUCAAUGGCCGAGAGGCUGAACCAGCCAAGUCGCGUGAGGGAAGACGGCCCUACGGGUUGUAAACCUCUUUUGUCGGGGAGCAAAGCGAACCACGUGUGGUUCAUUGAGAGUACCCGAAGAAAAAGCAUCGGCUAACUCCGUGCCAGCAGCCGCGGUAAUACGGAGGAUGCGAGCGUUAUCCGGAUUUAUUGGGUUUAAAGGGUGCGCAGGCGGAGGUGCAAGUCAGCGGUCAAAUUGCGGGGCUCAACCCCGUACUGCCGUUGAAACUGCAUCCCUUGAGUGCGCGAGAAGUAUGCGGAAUGCGUGGUGUAGCGGUGAAAUGCAUAGAUAUCACGCAGAACUCCGAUUGCGAAGGCAGCAUACCGGCGCGCAACUGACGCUCAUGCACGAAAGCGUGGGUAUCGAACAGGAUUAGAUACCCUGGUAGUCCACGCAGUAAACGAUGAACACUAACUGUUCGGCCAGAAUGAUGGCUGAGUGGUACAGCGAAAGCGUUAAGUGUUCCACCUGGGGAGUACGCCGGCAACGGUGAAACUCAAAGGAAUUGACGGGGGCCCGCACAAGCGGAGGAACAUGUGGUUUAAUUCGAUGAUACGCGAGGAACCUUACCCGGGCUCAAACGACACAGGAAUACUUUUGAAAGGAGGUAGCCCUACGGGGUCUGUGUCGAGGUGCUGCAUGGUUGUCGUCAGCUCGUGCCGUGAGGUGUCGGCUUAAGUGCCAUAACGAGCGCAACCCCUAUCGCCAGUUACCAUCAAGUAAAGUUGGGGACUCUGGCGAGACUGCCGGCGCAAGCUGAGAGGAAGGCGGGGAUGACGUCAAAUCAGCACGGCCCUUACGUCCGGGGCGACACACGUGUUACAAUGGCAGGUACAGAGAGAAGCCUGGUGGUGACACCGAGCGGAACUCGAAAGCCUGUCUCAGUUCGGAUCGGAGUCUGCAACCCGACUCCGUGAAGCUGGAUUCGCUAGUAAUCGCGCAUCAGCCAUGGCGCGGUGAAUACGUUCCCGGGCCUU